RNAcentral lists this non-coding RNA (24 nucleotides) under Rattus norvegicus (Norway rat). Lineage: Eukaryota; Metazoa; Chordata; Mammalia; Rodentia; Muridae. The record is from RNAcentral.
UCCUGAAGCGCUGUUGUAGGAGUC